This 435-nucleotide ribosomal RNA is filed under the name uncultured Oscillospiraceae bacterium. RNAcentral's name for it is "partial 16S ribosomal RNA". It matches the Rfam family "Bacterial small subunit ribosomal RNA", at positions 341 to 792 of the family's 1533-position model. The record is from RNAcentral. Lineage: Bacteria; Bacillati; Bacillota; Clostridia; Eubacteriales; Oscillospiraceae.
ACGGGAGGCAGCAGUGGGGGAUAUUGCGCAAUGGGGGAAACCCUGACGCAGCAACGCCGCGUGAAGGAAGAAGGUCUUCGGAUUGUAAACUUUUGUCUUCGGGGACGAAAACCGACGGUACCCGAGGAGGAAGCCACGGCUAACUACGUGCCAGCAGCCGCGGUAAUACGUAGGUGGCGAGCGUUGUCCGGAAUUACUGGGUGUAAAGGGCGUGUAGGCGGGUAAUCAAGUCAGAUGUGAAAUACCGAGGCUUAACUUCGGGGCUGCAUUUGAAACUGAAUAUCUUGAGUGCAGGAGAGGAAAGCGGAAUUCCUAGUGUAGCGGUGAAAUGCGUAGAUAUUAGGAGGAACACCAGUGGCGAAGGCGGCUUUCUGGACUGUAACUGACGCUGAGGCGCGAAAGCAUGGGGAGCAAACAGGAUUAGAUACCCUGGUA